AUACGUAGGGAGCAAGCGUUGUCCGGAAUUACUGGGCGUAAAGGGCGCGUAGGCGGAUAAUUAAGUCAGGUGUGAAAACUCUGGGCUCAACUUGGAGAUUGCACUUGAAACUGGUUAUCUUGAGGGCAGGAGAGGAAAGUGGAAUUCCUAGUGUAGCGGUGAAAUGCGUAGAUAUUAGGAGGAACACCAGUGGCGAAGGCGACUUUCUGGACUGUACCUGACGCUGAGGCGCGAAAGCGUGGGGAGC
This 247-nucleotide ribosomal RNA is filed under the name uncultured bacterium. RNAcentral's name for it is "partial 16S ribosomal RNA". It matches the Rfam family "Bacterial small subunit ribosomal RNA", at positions 523 to 769 of the family's 1533-position model. The record is from RNAcentral.